RNAcentral lists this ribosomal RNA (777 nucleotides) under uncultured Neocallimastigales. Its description in RNAcentral is "partial large subunit ribosomal RNA". It matches the Rfam family "Eukaryotic large subunit ribosomal RNA", at positions 26 to 633 of the family's 3401-position model. The record is from RNAcentral. Lineage: Eukaryota; Fungi; Neocallimastigomycota; Neocallimastigomycetes; Neocallimastigales.
CGCAUCUGUGCAUGCAGCAUAUCAAUAAGCGGAGGAAAAGAAACUAACAAGGAUUCCCUUAGUAACGGCGAGUGAAGCGGGAAGAGCUCAAAUUUGAAAUCUUCAAGGUUUUACCUUGACGAAUUGUAGUUUAAAGAAGUGUUUUCCUGUUGAAGUUUUGGUAAAAGUUCUUUGGAAUAGGACAUCAUAGAGGGUGAGAAUCCCGUAUUUGACCAUUAUUUUCAGCUGUGUGAUACACUUUCAAAGAGUCGGAUUGUUUGGGAAUGCAGUCCAAAAUGGGUGGUAAAUUUCAUCUAAAGCUAAAUAUUGGCGAGAGACCGAUAGCGAACAAGUACCGUGAGGGAAAGAUGAAAAGAACUUUGAAAAGAGAGUUAAACAGUACGUGAAAUUGUCAAAAGGGAAGCGUUUGACACCAGUGUUGUUUUCUCGAAAAUCAAUUAAAAAGAGUUUAGAUUUUGUUGUGUAUUGACCUUAACAGCUUGCAUUUCAAUUUUCUUGCUUUUUUUAAUGCACUUUUCGUUUAACAAGUCAACAUCAGUUUCUUUUGUUGUAAAAAGGUCAUUGGAAGGUGGCUUUCUUUUCGGAGAAAGUGUUUAUAGCCUUUGACUCCUGCAAUCGGAGAGACUCGAGGUCUGCAGCGUAGAUCCUUCGGGGUUAGAUACAUUUGUGCUAAGUUAUAGCUUUUUAUAGACAACUUGUUGACUAUGAUUAGUCUUGUAGCUUACUCGCUUAUGCUAUUUUACCUACGCUUAGGAUGUUGAUCUGUAGUGCGUGCGC